This is a long non-coding RNA of Homo sapiens (human), 1943 nucleotides long. Ensembl annotates it as FBN1 divergent transcript. Its record names the gene FBN1-DT. Lineage: Eukaryota; Metazoa; Chordata; Mammalia; Primates; Hominidae. The record is from Ensembl.
GCAGAGGUGAUCAGGUCCUGCCCGGCCUGGGACUUUUUGUCUUGAGGUGGGGAGGGGAGAAAUGGGAAGAGGUGGAGUAGCGGUUUUAGCCCGCUCUGCGGCUGCGAGGUUUAGAUCCGAGAUUAACCUCUCCCGCGAUAGGUGAAGCCCUACCGGAGCAGAAAGCUGUUCCACCUGCACCAAGAAUGCGCGCUGGAGACGGUUGCCCCGGAGGCCCUGGCCCGAGAGAAAACCAGUCCCCGCUGCCCGCGCCUCCCGGUAGCGCGCUCCCUGCGCCUCUCCCGCCGGACACUCAGCAGACGCCGGAGGCCGGGAGGCUAAGACUGGGCGCGUCGCAGGCCGGGACCGCGGCAGAGGCUGCUGUGCCGACCGAGGAGAGGGCUCUGCCGCCCCCACUUGCCCUGGGUGUCGAGAGCCCACUCCAGACGCGGCUCUUCUGAGGCUCAAUUCAAGCCACCCAGGCCUGAAUCCAGGGUGCUCUCUCUAAGUCGGUGUCCAACCCAGGGGCCUGUAAAUGUUGGAACCUAGGAUGUAGGAUGGGAGCGGUGAAGGGAUGGUCCUCUUGCCCAGCCCAGAUUAAGACUGGGGUUCAUCUGGAGGACUCUACUUACACCCUCCCGGUCCCCUCGCCCUCCCCCACACACAGCUGCCUCUCCCCAGGAUAUGCGCGGCACAGUGAAUUUAGUGGCUUUGAAAGGUAUAGUAUUUGUGGCAUCCUUAUAUGGAUAAUGCCCAAUGAUGCCUGCACCCUGUAACAGUUUAGGAAGGCCUGAAGUCGCACACUGGGUCCUGGCUGCUGUAACUGGAGACCCCCAGAAGAUCCCCUGCAAGCAGCCACCAGCCUGCUGUCAAGCCAAUAAUAAAAGCUCAGCACAAACAGAGAUGAAGAAACUCACAUUGAGAAGAGUUAAGAAACUUGCUCAAAUUCAUAAAAUCAAGAGGAGAGGUGGAUGUAAUUAAAACCAAGCCUUUGACAAAUCAAGGAAACUUUUCAUGUCGUCACUGCUACCUCAUCCGUGGCCACAAAAUCUCAGUCAAGAUCUAGGGUUGAUGCAAACUGGAGUCAUUCCCAGUAUCCACAACACUUCUCUUGUGUCUUCUGGGAAGCUAAGAUUUCAUCCCUUGAGUUUCAUUGCUGCCUGAAUCUAUUGCAUCUUACUUGAGAGCCUCAUUUAUUCCAUGCUACAAGAUCCAUGCAAGAUUCCAGGAUCACCAAGAUCACUCCAGGAAAUGAAGAGAUCAAGAGAGCUGCCAUGGACAAGUCUCUGCCUCUCUGCUUCAGCUUCUAGUUCCCUCAUAAUAUAGGACAAUUCCUUGUACAAAACGGGUGCUCCAUAAAUAUUUGUUGAAUGAACUUCUUUUCUAGAUGGUGACGUGAUGGCAACCUUAAAACCUCAUGCCAUUCUUCCUCAUCAUUCUCUGGGUUAAAGAAAGGCCUAAACUUUUCCAGCAAUUGACAGAGCCUUGGUGUGUCAUAUUGCCUCAUUGUGCCUCAGUUGUCCCAUCACUCCCACUUGGGAGAGGAUAUGAAUGAAUGGAUCUUAGUUUUAAAGAGCUGAAGGUGGAAUUCAGUUGCCUGAUUGCUAGCAUAGAUAGUACCUCUAUGUAUGUGCCAUUUCUUUUUUUUUUUUUUUUUGAUUGUUUAGUUCAUUUAUUUGUGUAACCAAUUUUGAUUAAAAGCUGAACACUGUGCUGGAAGCUGAGGCUUCACUGGUGUAGGGAUGCCAUUUCUGCCCCCUAAGAAUCACAAGGGCUAGAGCAUUGCAGGAGGUCCUUACAGCAACAAUUACCAUGAACUAAGCCUUUGCUUAGUGCAGGCACUGUGUUAAGAGGGAAGUUAGUAAUGUUCUUCCCAUUUUAGAAUUUUGUAACUAUAAAAAUAUAAUGCAGGCUUAAGAAAGAGCAGUUUAAAAUGACAUAAAUAAACCUUUGUUUUAGGGAAA